GACGAACGCUGGCGGCGUGCUUAACACAUGCAAGUCGAACGGAAAGGCCUGCUUUCCCUUGUGGAUUGCGGGUGCUCGAGUGGCGAACGGGUGAGUAACACGUGAGUGAUCUGCCCCCAACUUGGGUAUAAGCCUGGGAAACUGGGUCUAAUUCCCGAUAGGACUGCAGGGUGGUGCCUGCGGUGGAAAACGAUUUUCUAGUGGUUGGGGAUGAGCUCGCGGCCUAUCAGCUUGUUGGUGGGGUAAUGGCCUACCAAGGCGGCGACGGGUAGCCGGCCUGAGAGGGUGGACGGCCACAUUGGGACUGAGAUACGGCCCAGACUCCUACGGGAGGCAGCAGUGGGGAAUAUUGCACAAUGGGCGGAAGCCUGAUGCAGCGACGCCGCGUGGGGGAUGACGGGCUUCGGGUUGUAAACUCCUUUCGACCGCGAGGAAGCCACCUGGUUGGAAGGGUGGUGACGGUAGUGGUAGAAGAAGCACCGGCUAACUACGUG
This 494-nucleotide ribosomal RNA is filed under the name uncultured bacterium. RNAcentral describes it as "partial 16S ribosomal RNA". It matches the Rfam family "Bacterial small subunit ribosomal RNA", at positions 28 to 507 of the family's 1533-position model. The record is from RNAcentral.